Long non-coding RNA from Nematostella vectensis (starlet sea anemone), 706 nucleotides. RefSeq lists it as uncharacterized. NCBI's taxonomy places the organism in Eukaryota, Metazoa, Cnidaria, Anthozoa, Actiniaria, Edwardsiidae. The record is from RefSeq and is a predicted model, not a curated record. The transcript has 2 exons.
GCCUUUUGUGGCUAACGGAGGUGUUACUGUAACAGGAUGCCGCUUUGAGGGAGUGUGACAAUUCUUCCAGCUUAUGCCCUUAUGUCAACGAAGCAUGUUUGCUUGUGGUAUUUGUGUUUAAUUCUUCGAUUGGUGUUUCCUAUCUAGAAUUACGCUUUCACAACAUAGGCGAGCCAGCUAAGAAGAGAUAUCUCCUACUUUCGGGUGAUGUCCUGCUGCAAGAGACCAUGAUACAUCAUGGUCUCUUGCCUGCUGUGAGUGACAUGAUAAUGUCAAGUAUCGCAUACGCAUAUACAUAUCCCAUAUUAAUUUUUAAAAUAAUUUUGGCAUCAUUAAUAUGUUUUUUUAGAAUGAAGAACAUAAAAUGAGAAACAAUCUAAAAUAAAAACUGCAAGCCGACUAGUUGAACUAUUCUUUAUAUCGGGUUUCCUUUGGAAAUUCACGCAUGCUCAUCUUGUAGACCGCUGAUCAGUUGUUGUCAUUUGAAACCUGACUCGUGUUCAAGUACUUGACAUUUGCAUUGAAAUUAAUCUCAUAAAUCGGCCUUUUUCCCAGAAACCUCUUGACAGAAGUGACUUCCAAGGAUGAACCAAGACUAUUAUACAGCAUCUGAGAUUAGUAUACAGCAAGGGUAGAGUUUAUUUUUUGUGAUUUGUCUCCUGUACAAACAGGUAUGUGUAUCUAAUAAAGACGGCUGUCAAGAAAA